CCACCACAUGCCUACAACACUGGCAAAUUCUGCUGCAGCAGAUGAUGUUGUCCUUCCCCCACAUUCCUCCUCCCUGAUGCCACUGAAGAAGACAACGGUUUUAUCCAUUUUAUUCUCUGAGGUAUGCUAGGUCAAGAGGUGGGCUAAAAUCAUUCCAUGCUGUUGGUGGAAAAUCAUAUAUUUGCGUUCUCCUAUGUGUAAUAUCUCUCUAGAAGAAGAAAUAAAAACUAGCAUAGAGUUGGGUUUCAUUGUAAGAUGAAAGUCCUGUUUUAAAUUGGUAUUUUCCACACAGUCUGGUACAUAGUCUAUCACUUCAUCCUGAGGCAUGUGUAGAGUAGAUCACAGGGACUGACCCAAGUCAUCCCAUGAAUUUCAUGGUUCAGUAGGGAUUUGGACCCAUAUUGCCAACAAAGGUCCGUAUAGUUAAAGCUAUGGUUUUCCCAGUAGUGAUGUAUGGAAGUGAAAGCUGGACCAUAAAGAAGGCUGAUCGCUGAAGAAUUGAUGCAUUUGAAUUAUGGUGCUGGAGGAGACUCUUGAGAGUCCCAUGGACUGCAAGAAGAUCAAACCUAUCCAUUUUGAAGGAAAUCAGCCCUGAGUGCUCACUGGAAGGACAGAUCCUGAAGCUGAGGCUCCAAUACUUUGGCCACCUCAUGAGAAGAGAAGACCCUGGAAAAGACCCUGAUGUUGGGAAAGAUGGAGGGCACAAGGAGAAGGGGACGACAGAGGAUGAGAUGGUUGGAUAGUGUUCUCGAAGCUACCAGCAUGAGUUUGACCAAACUGCAGGAGGCAGUGGAAGACAGAAGUGCCUGGCGUGCUCUGGUCCAUGGGGUCACGAAGAGUCAGACACAACUAAAUGACUAAACAACAACAACAACAUUGCAACAGUCCAAUAUCCCACUACUCCACACUGGCUCUAUAUGUGUAUAUGCUAUAUUCUGUUUUCUACCCCGUCCACAAACUCCUGUUUUAGAAUUAAAGGGAGAAAGAGGAUUUUCUGGGAGGGGGGGGGAUGUUUCAUAGGGUUGUUUUUUUAAUAUAAUCCCAGGUAAUUCUAAUCCGUCCUUCUGUUAAAUGGAUUUAUGCAAAUAACAUGCCAGCCGCUUCAAAUGAAUGAGCCUAAUGCUAGUUCCCUGCGUUAUCUCAAUCAACUGAUCCUCAGCACCAAAGUUUGAAAAUGAUCCCCAUUUAAAAGCCUACAACUAAAAUGGUAUUCCCACCCCCCACCCCUGCUAAUUUGUGGCAGUCUUUUUGAUGGUGGGGAAGGUUGACAGAGAAAUGUGUUCAAACAAAUAACAUAAUACCACAACUUGCCCUCCAAGCACGCUGCAGCUUUAAUCUCUGAUGGCGAGAGAAGAGUAAACAGCGCAGGCAGGGGGUUCUCCUUAACCCACACAUGGCUAAUAAGUUUAAGAUAGCAGGCCAGUGCAUUUAAAUAAAAACCCAGAGUCAGUUUAAUAGUAUUUGUUAUAAAGCUAUAUCUAAUUAUAUUAGUCAAUCUUUAUUAGAAGGCUCAUAAGUGCAGAGAACUCUAUUAUAAUCCGUCUUUCUAAUGAUCUCUUCACUAUCAUAGUCAUAAAAGUCUGGGAUAAAUUAAUCAUCUGUUUGCAAUCAUGAGUAAACAUCGAGUCAAUUAACAAUUGAUAAAUAAACAGCAGACUCCUGAGGCUACUGCUAUUAGAAAUGCAGGCACUGCUCAUCUCCCACACAGCAGCACAGUUCCGCCAUUUAAUUUCAGUGUGUGUUUCAGAGCUAGGCCAAAACUAUUUAUCUAACUCUUGGUCACAUGGACUGGGGGAGAGUUUAAACAGAGGGAUAGAUAUAGAUAGAUAGAUAUAGAUAUAGAUAUAGAUAUAGAUAUAGAUAUAGAUAUAGAUAUAGAUAUAGAUGAUAUAGAUACACACACACACACACACACACACACUGCUUGAGCUUUUGCUCACAUCCAAGCUACACAGUCAUACGUAACUUUCCCUUUUUAAUCAAACAAACAAAAAUCAGUUUUGGAAGGGCAGGAGAUGCUUAAACAAAACAACUAUCCUCUACUGGGUGAGCAUACAGGUCUGAUCUUUUCUCUUUGAAGGAGAAGAGCAGUUUAGGGGUGAUGGUUUUGAAAGGAAAAACCUUCCUGAGGAGAAAGGUUAAAGCACUACUUUUCUACCUGUUGAUCCAUCACCCUUUGUUGCAAAUUUCUAUGACUGUUUUUUGUUCUGUAAAUUCCCCCGGAAACUGCAUGGAAGAAAUAUUUUGGACCUUCCUUUGCCAUCAGGGACCUUCUCCAAGCUUGGAUAUUGCAAUAUACAGCCCCAGCACUUAUUUCAGCCAUACUUGGUACCCAGGGCUUGAACAAAACACACACAAAUACUUUCAAUAGUUAAUCAGUAUGUUUCAAUUGCCAUCUAAGUUCCACAAUCAUGCUGCCAAGGAAGAUUAUCUCUUACAGUAAAUUCAAAUUUUGAUAUUGAAAUGGGGGGUGGGGAGUGGGGAUAGGUAAGUUCAGCUCAACAAUCCUAAAGGAUGCUGUUAUUAUACCCAGGCAAUAGCUAACUGACAGCUCACUUUCACACAACGUUUUAUUUAUUUGUUUGUUUACAUUUGUUUACACUGGGCUGCCCUUGAAGCUGUCCCAGAAACUCCAGCGGGUGCAGAAUGCUGCAGCAAGGCUCCUCACAGGGUCUCUGCCUUGGGAGCAUAUUCACCCAGUGCUUUUCAAGCUGCACUGGCUCCCGGUGGAGUACAGGGUCAGAUUUAAGGUGCUGCUUUUGACCUUUAAAGCCCUUCGUGGCCUAGGACCCUCGUACCUACGGGACCGCCUCUCCCGGUAUGCCCCACGGAGGACCUUAAGAUCCAUAACUAGCAACACCCUAGUGGUCCCGGGCCCUAAGGAAGUUAGAUUAGCUUCAACCAGAGCCAGGGCCUUCUCAACACUGGCUCCGGCCUGGUGGAACGCUCUGUCUCAUGAGACCAGGGCCCUGCAGGAUCUGAUUUCUUUCCGCAGGGCCUGUAAGACAGAGUUGUUCCGCCUGGCCUUUGUCUUGGAGCCAAUUUGAUUCCCUCCCUCUCUUUUUUCUUUUCCUUCUCCUCCAGCGAGGAGGCUACAUUUUAAUACUUUAAUGUUUCAAUAUUUUAAUGUUGUAUUUUAAUUUUGUUUUUAAGUUGUAAUCAUUCAACUUGUUUUUAUUAUUGCUUGUAAGCCACUCGGAGCCCGGCCUUAGCUGGGGAGGGCGGGGUAUAAAUAAAAAUUAUUAUUAUUAUUAUUAUUAUUAUUUAUAUCCCAGCUUUUCUCCAAGAGUUCUAUGUGAGAUAUAUGGUUUCCACCCACUCCCAACCAUAUUACCAUCACAACAACCCUGUGGGGUAGGUUAAGUUGAGGGUUAGUGGCUUGCCCAAUAUCAGUGAGCUUCAUGGCCAAGUGGGGAUUUGAACCUUGGAUUCCUGGUGAAGCAACAGCUAUGAAUGUGAAUAUUUGUCAGCAGAGCUUCACUGGCAAGUUUAUUUUAUUAUCCAAAUCCCUUUUUCAGAAAGUCCAGCGUUUCCAGAAAACGCAAAGCAAUGCUAGAUGAAAGGGUGCAACCAAAAGAUGAGGGGGAUGCUCCUGAAAUAUUUGGUAGUAGAAAAGGAGGUGCGAAAAAUGCAAGGCUACAUAAAAAUCUUAUAAUCCAUGAGCAGCCUUGAUUGCAAUUUUUCCACCAAAAGCAAUUAAUUUAUAGCUUCAAACACAGGAGAUAAUCCUGUUAAUCAAGAAAAAGGGAGCCAUUUAUUGCAACUGUUCUUUUAGAGCAUUUAAUAACAUUGCAUCAGCUUGCACACAGCAAAAUAAAAAUUGAGGAUGGGAGGAGGAAGGUUAACAGGAGACAUGCCAGAAUUAGAAAAUGAGGUUCAAGGUAAUAUUUCAACUGUGAAUUUUUAAACUUUAAUGAAGUUGGCACACACUCCUGGUGUUAGAUAACAAAUCCUGGUGUCAGUACUAUAGAAAUAAUCCACUUGCAACCCUGAGCAAUUUUAUAUUUCUGACAUUCUAACACCUUAUAAACUGUAUUGAUAGCCCACAUAUACCAUAAUACUUAGGAGCUCACCCAUAGGAAAUAUUUUUAUAAGGCAGAACUGUGUAAAAGCACAUAAAAGCAACAUGAAUUCUGAAUAGUAACUCAAAACUCCAUAUUGAUCGAGGAUGCUUCCAUUGUUUAGCCAAAGGCUAAACCGACCCUAGCUGCAACCUAACAUGCUAAAUACCAGUUAACUAUUCCAUCAAAGUUCCUACAGGUUCCAGUUGUGAUCGCGUCGCUAUCCUGCAGACUUGGAAAUCAUGGCCAUGUUGAUACAUAAAGAUAAAGGGACCAUUAGGUCCAGUCGUGGCCGACUCUGGGGUUGCGGCGCUCAUUUCGCUUUAUUGGCCGAGGGAGCCUGCGUACAGCUUCCGGGUCAUGUGGCCAGCAUGACUAAGCCGCUUCUGGCGAACCAGAGCAGCGCACGGAAACGCCGUUUACCUUCGCGCCAGAGUGGUACCUAUUUAUCUACUUGCACUUUGACGUGCUUUCGAACUGCUAGGUUGGCAGGAGCAGGGACCGAGCAACGGGAGCUCACCCCGUUGGGGGGGAUUCGAACCACCAACCUUCUGAUCGGCAAGUCCUAGGCUCUGUGGUUUAACCCACAGCGCCACCCGUGUCCCAUGUUGAUACACAAUGGACAGCUUUUCUUGUCCACAUAGUCAAGGCCUGAAAGGUAGUUACUUCAGUGAUAGUGUCCCAAGGUGAUAACUUCUGCCCAAGCAAGGACUUCCAGGGUGCUUGUGCCAGUCACUUGUUGCCUGCUUUAGGCCAUUCAUACAUGACUGGGUUUCUGUUUGACAGUCUGGUACCAGAAGCAAUCAGGCCUCAAUUUCCGACACACUAGGUCCACCAGCAAAGCUGAUGAUAGAAGGGAAUGUAACAUUAGAGCAUCCUUAAUUAAUAUACACAGUAAAAAAUAAAAUAACUGCAUAACAAUUUAAUACUCUGCGAAAAAGGUGCCACCAGUGAAAAAGCCUGCCUCUGCAUUACCAUGCCACAUUUAUCCUCGUUUUGACUAUAAAAGAGCAUGCAAGAUAGCUAACAGCAUUCAAGAAUUACAAGCAAACUAUCAUAGUAAUCAAAAAUUAAAACAAUUCUGAAAUAACAAUAAGAGAUAACAUGGCAGGUUCAUCAAUCAAAGCCAUCAGAGUCAGCAUAAAAACUCAGGUUAAUAAUAAUAAUAAUAAUAAAGCCUGCCUUAAAGAAAAAGUAUUCAAUGAAAUAAUGGGAGGGAGUGAAAUAAGCCCAUGGGGGAGAAUUCCACUCCUGGGGUGCAGCCAUAGAUAAGGCCAACUUGUGUGACCUGAUCAACCUAGUAUCAGGCCAAUGGAAGGAACAAGAAGUACCAACGAAAGAAGAGUGGCAGAUGAAGGUGAUGGACUUUGCGGGACUGGUGAAGCUGACUGGGAAAAUCCGAAACCAGCAUGAUCAAGCAUUCCAAAAAGACUGGAGUAAAUCUAUACAAUAUUUGAAGGACCAUUGUAAGCAACUAACAACACAGGCAGGGUUUUAAGAAGACUUGCAACAUUAACUGUAUUUACCUUUUUUAUAUUUAUUUAAAAUUAAGACACUUCAGAUGAGUGAAUUGUAAAUUGGAAAAUGUAUAAGUGCUAUGAUAUAGAGGUUAACUUUGAAAAUCAAGAGGCGGGAGGGAGGGGAGUCAAUAUGCUCUUAAGAGCUAAAGAAGUAAAGUGAAUAAUGAUGAUGUGAUUAAAUAUUAUAAAAUGGAAAAUCAGUAAUAAUAAUAAUAAUAAUAAUAAUAAUAAUAAUAAACCUAGUAGUAUCAGGCCAUAGCAGAUCACAGAGAAGGGCUCACCUUAGAUAGGAUGUAUCACUGUGGAUAGGAUGGUAGCAAUUUCACUUAUCAUCUUCCUAUUUCCAUCAAGGAUGGAUCCAAAGUAGUUAGAUAAAAAUAAAAGCUCAACCUGUCAGCUCGGAUUAAACCCCAGCACCCAAGAAUCUAGAGGGGGAAAUCUUGCACCCAGGGAUCUGUUCUCCCACUAACCUGUAACAAUAUUUUCAGGGGCUACUUUCAGUUUCCAGGCCUCCAGCUGAUUACUCCAAAAUGUUUGGACAUUUCUUCUCUCUUUUAUUACUGGCAGAACUGUUCUUCUCGAGAAGAACAGAAAACCCCAAAGAACUCAGAAAACUUGCCCAAAACACAUUUCCCAAACUUGGAGUGAAUUAUCCAUCAGUUCAAUCAGUUUCUUUUCAGCAACCGUUAGACACAUUCCUGAGUAUGAACCACCUUCUCCUAUAUUGAGCUGUAACUUAUGACAGCAGCUUUAAUUAAGAUCUACUACAUAACAUGGAAGUAGAGCACAUGUAUUUGACCAUGCUAAGUGUAAUUGGUUGACUGCUUUCUUUGUCAUUUGAUUGAGGACCUUGAUCAUAUUCAUUUUAAUAAAAUUAGGACAAGUAUCAUUUCAGAAAGAGAAGUAAUUAUCUCUAAACUGUAAUCUGCCUUCCUUCGAAACGUAUGACAUGAAGAGUUCUCCUUAAUGGCAAACUUAUAGUCGAAAGACUUAAUUAAGCAUCUUUUCUAAUCAAAUUAACUUUCAUUUCCUAAGUAGAGGUUUCUAACCUCAAAGUGGCUUUAAACCAUUGUUUCUUUCAGCCAUUACCUUUGAAGAGAAAGAUAAUAUCCCCUUGAAGUGAUCCUCUUAGAAUGAGCUAUUAUGCACUGACUACAAAUACGGAUAUAAAGCUGAACUAACACACACAAACACAUACUGCUUCACCAGCUAUUUCAAGCUAAGUUUGAAAGCUUUGGAAUUAGCUCUGAUGCCAGCAGGAAGUCACAAACAAUAUGUUUUGUCCUUUUAAAAUUAAAAACAAGCUAUUAUGCAAAAGCAUUUCUACACCAGGAAUCUGCAAAUGAAAAGGUGUAAAAUGGCAGGUUAUCAUGCACCCUUCUGCUGUUUAUAACUGGCAGGGGCAGUUUAACGUUAAAGAACAAACUGCAACACUAAAAUUUAAAUACACAACAAAAGACUAGUAUUUCAAGCAUUUGCUUUGGUAUACACUUUGAAAGUUGAUGGGUAAAGGUAAAGGUAAAGGGAUCCCUGACCAUUAGGUCCAGUCGUGACUGACUCUGGGGUUGCAGCGCUCAUCUCGCUUUACUGGCCGAGGGAGCUGGCGUACAGCCUCUGGGUCAUGUGGCCAGCAUGACUAAGCCGCUUCUGGCGAACCAGAGCAGCGCACGGAAACCCCGUUUUACCUUCCCGCCAGAGAGUGGUACCUAUUUAUCUUCUUGCACUUUGAUGUGCUUUUGAACUGCUAGGUUGGCAGGAGCAGGGACCGAGCAACAGGAGCUCACCCCGUCGCGGGGAUUUGAACCGCCGACCUUCUGAUCGGCAAGUCCUAGGCUCUGCGGUUUAACCCACAGAGCCACCUGCGUCCCUCAUAUUUUACUAAAUCUGCCUACCUGACAAGUAGUUCAACCACAGGUUGCCUUGUUACUUCAUCAACUUAUCUGAAUGACUUUAUGGUUCAAAAACAAUGCAAAACCCAGGUCCCAGAACUCUGUACCCACUAUUUGUAGUUUCCAGAAACAAUAGGCUUUUGCAGUUUGCCUUGGAUUUUGUAUUAGUUUAAGAUUCAUCUUAAUGGGGUUUUUUGUGCUGCUUUAAAAGCUAUUUUUAGCUGUUUGCCUUGAUACACACAUGUAAAAGGUGAGUCAUUAAUUAAUUAAUUGUAAUUGUUUUUGAAUUGCAAUAAUAAUAGAUGGUUUUUAAAAAUGUGGUGCUGGUAUUCAUAUCUUGAGAUAAAGUGCUGUAGAUGCCAGUAAAAAAAACAAGUCAGUAAUCUGUUUCAAGGUGUACUAUCACAAAAAAGCAUUGAUAAUAACAACUGCUGCUCCUGCUAUUCAGGAAGCUGAAAUGAAAGGCACAACAAGCAGACUGAAAAUCAAGUUUGGGACUCAUUUUAUCCAAUAACUUAAGCAAAUGGGGUGGACUCAACUCAGCGUACUUGCUCCAAUACGCUGUUCACUCUUUCCAGAUCAGGUAUUCAGUGGUGUUUGCCCAGACAGGCCAACAGCCAAGGGAAGGAGAGGAGAAGCCAUGCAGUCAUAAGGAAUGAAGGUCUGUGACCCUGACUGUAGGGAGCCCCUUUGAGGUUUGGUUUUGUUUAGCAGAGACUACUCUGCAAGUCAUUUUGCCUAUAUAAGCACUUUCACGGGCUGAAAAUGAAGGUUCGGAGCUGGAUGAGUUUGGGAAGCCGAAUUCCAAGAUUGAUGGUAGUCAUCAUGCCAUGGAAUUCCAACCACAUUUGCAAAAUUUAUUAAAAGCCCCAUUCUGUUUAGAAUUUCUAGCCAUUUCUCCAGAAAACAUAUACACACGUAUAGCGUGUAUAUAAGUGCCUGUGUCUAUGCGUAUAAAGGCGACUCUCAACUUACAUUCUGGAAAUCUCACAUAAAGCCAAAAAAUUUCCCUGGACACCUGCCUCCCCCUUUUUUUGCCAAAUGGAUAAAGCUGAAUCCAUGCAGGUUAAAUGUGUACAAGUUACACUUUACAAGUGUGUGUGUGUGUGUGUGUGUAGCCAAAACAUUUCAAGAAUGUUCCAUCUUGAAUCCUACUAUGAGCAUGCCCCAGAAGCAAUUUGUCUUGUUGGUACCUUCAACAUGAAUAUUAUGUGCAUGUAAGCAAUAUGGCUACUCAAGUGCACAUAGGCCCAUUAAUGAAUGGAUGAGGUUUGAUUGGCUGGUUUACUGUGAUAAUAUAAAUCUACUUUUGCAAAAGCUUCUAUGGUAGAGCACAGUGGAUAAACUUAACAACAGCCUUUUGCUUAGACUGCAUCCAAAGUAUGCAAUAAUAGCCUAACUCAGUGGUAGAACACAUUCUAUGCAUGCAGAAGAGCCCAGACUCAACCCAGAGUAUUUCCAUUUAAAAGCCUAUUUGAUUUUUGAGAAGACAUCUGCCUAGGACCUUGGAGAGGCAGGGCCAAUCGGGCUAGGCCCAAUCCAAUGAUCCAACUCAAUAUGCUGGAUUGGUUGCAGCUUCCAUAACAUCCUGCCCCUCCCCAUGACCCCAUGGAGAUCCCUUAUGGGACCUCAGAGGGCACUUAUGCAUAGGCCAGCCCAUCUCAGAAGAAGUAGUUUAUAUAACUGGAUAUCCUAACCUGGCCUUUUUUUUACAGACUCCUCUCUGAGCAGACAGGCUGUGGGUUCCGCUGUAAGCAGAGAAGCUGUUUCCAGAUCAGGACACCAAGCUGUAAUUGUGGCCAUUUUAACUUAAUCCCUGCAGCAAUUUCACUCCUCUCUCUUUCUUCAUGCUGCGGGCACAGAACAGCAUCUUGUGUAAUGAUCAAAAUGCAUGCUACUGAAAAUGUGGCAGAGAAAUGUGUCACCACGUAAAUAUAUUAUUUAAUGCCCAAG
Molecule: non-coding RNA, 9423 nt
Organism: Podarcis lilfordi (Lilford's wall lizard)
Lineage: Eukaryota; Metazoa; Chordata; Lepidosauria; Squamata; Lacertidae
Source: the annotation of a GenBank genome assembly